This 439-nucleotide ribosomal RNA is filed under the name uncultured bacterium. RNAcentral describes it as "partial 16S ribosomal RNA". It matches the Rfam family "Bacterial small subunit ribosomal RNA", at positions 338 to 795 of the family's 1533-position model. The record is from RNAcentral.
CCUACGGGAGACAGCAGUAGGGAAUAUUGCUCAAUGGGGGAAACCCUGAAGCAGCAACGCCGCGUGGAGGAUGAAGGUUUUCGGAUUGUAAACCACUGUCCCCAGGGACGAAAAUGACGGUACCUGGGGAGGAAGCUCCGGCUAACUACGUGCCAGCAGCCGCGGUAAUACGUAGGGAGCAAGCGUUGUCCGGAAUUACUGGGUGUAAAGGGAGCGUAGGCGGGGAUGCAAGUUGGGUGUCAAAACUACCGGCUCAACCGAUAGUCGCACUCAAAACUGCAGCUCUUGAGUGAAGUAGAGGCAGGCGGAAUUCCUAGUGUAGCGGUGAAAUGCGUAGAUAUUAGGAGGAACACCAGUGGCGAAGGCGGCCUGCUGGGCUUUUACUGACGCUGAGGCUCGAAAGUGUGGGGAGCAAACAGGAUUAGAUACCCCGGUAGUC